AUAACAUAAUUUUCAAAACAUUAGACACACAAUGAUAUUUUGCCAUGAUGACUUUCGGCCAAGGACCUUUCUGAAAGAUUUACAAACAUAUUGAGCUAUAACAAAAUUUCUGUGGGUAAAUAUUUCCUCAAAAUUGAGCCAUAACAAAAUUUACAUAAAUAUAAGGAUCAGACGAUAAUUUCACUGCACUUCAUCUUCUUCCUCACGAUGGAGCUCCAGUUAUCUACAAUAAGCUACAGUGAACGUUGUUCGAACAACCCGAUAUUGGCCACCAAAAAUUAUGAAAAAAUCAUAUGUUUACUCCACAAACAUCACCCACAUAUUAUUUAACAACCAUUUACUCAAAUAUGCCCAAAAUCAAAAAAUCCGAAAAUAAAGAAAAAUGCCAUGGGUGAGCCAACGUUUGAUUCAUCAACAAAAUUCGCCAUGGUUUACAAAGAAAUGUAUAACCAUAAAAUCUUAUACCAAUUACUGUAAUAAAUUCGAGUUUUAUGUCCUUAAUCUUGCAUUUCUAAUUAAACACAUGCAUUGGGUAAAAAUUCAAAAUUUACCUUGAUUAGCCAUGAAUCUCAGCUUGUGGACUUGUUAAGAAGAUUCUACAGAUUGCCACUAACUGAAUCCAAACCAUUGCAACUUGUUGCCUUUCCUCAACCCAUGAUAUGAAUGAUUUGCACAGCCACUGCACACACACAAACGGCAGAGAAAGGGAGACACUCAUAGUCAUGGCC
Molecule: long non-coding RNA, 728 nt
Filed under: Citrus maxima (pomelo)
Lineage: Eukaryota; Viridiplantae; Streptophyta; Magnoliopsida; Sapindales; Rutaceae
Description: long non-coding RNA (CMAX_LNC004097)
Source: RNAcentral